AACGUAACAAGGUCUCCGUUGGUGAACCAGCGGAGGGAUCAUUGCUGGAACGCGCCCCAGGCGCACCCAGAAACCCUUUGUGAACUUAUACCUUACUGUUGCCUCGGCGCAUGCCGGCCCCCCUGGGGGCCCCUCCUUCGGGAGGAGCAGGCACGCCGGCGGCCAACCUAACUCUUGUUUUUACACUGAAACUCUGAGAAUAAAACAUAAAUGAAUCAAAACUUUCAACAACGGAUCUCUUGGUUCUGGCAUCGAUGAAGAACGCAGCGAAAUGCGAUAAGUAAUGUGAAUUGCAGAAUUCAGUGAAUCAUCGAAUCUUUGAACGCACAUUGCGCCCUCUGGUAUUCCGGAGGGCAUGCCUGUUCGAGCGUCAUUUCAACCCUCAAGCCUGGCUUGGUGAUGGGGCACUGCUUUUACCCAAAAGCAGGCCCUGAAAUUCAGUGGCGAGCUCGCCAGGACCCCGAGCGCAGUAGUUAAACCCUCGCUUUGGAAGGCCCUGGCGGUGCCCUGCCGUUAAACCCCCAACUUCUGAAAAUUUGACCUCGGAUCAGGUAGGAAUACCCGCUGAACUUAAGCAUAUCAAUAAGCGGAGGAAAAGAAACCAACAGGGAUUGCCCUAGUAACGGCGAGUGAAGCGGCAACAGCUCAAAUUUGAAAUCUGGCUUCGGCCCGAGUUGUAAUUUGCAGAGGAUGCUUCUGGCGCGGUGCCUUCCGAGUUCCCUGGAACGGGACGCCACAGAGGGUGAGAGCCCCGUAUGGUCGGACACCAAGCC
RNAcentral lists this ribosomal RNA (773 nucleotides) under Phomopsis sp. B17A. Its description in RNAcentral is "eukaryotic LSU rRNA". The stretch from base 538 to 773 matches the Rfam family "Eukaryotic large subunit ribosomal RNA", at positions 1 to 242 of the family's 3401-position model. The record is from RNAcentral. Lineage: Eukaryota; Fungi; Ascomycota; Sordariomycetes; Diaporthales; Diaporthaceae.